AAUAUUGGUAAAAGAUAAUGAAAAUUAACGACAACAACUUGUCAACCUUCCUCAUCACAUUUACUGAUGUUUCUCUGUUAUUGUGUAUUUAAUAGACUCAAACAGUUAAAAAAAAUUCUUAAUUCUUCGAUAUUGAGUUAAAAUAGGUGAAAAGAUGAAAUUAUUUUUGAGGAAAUAUAAUAGAGGAUAAAAUAGUUAAAUAGGGAUCCAAAAAAUAAUCUUUUUUUUUUCGAAAAAUUAUUUAUUAGUACUG
Molecule: long non-coding RNA, 253 nt
Filed under: Olea europaea (common olive)
Lineage: Eukaryota; Viridiplantae; Streptophyta; Magnoliopsida; Lamiales; Oleaceae
Description: long non-coding RNA (OEUR_LNC009190)
Source: RNAcentral